UACGGAGGGUGCAAGCGUUAAUCGGAAUUACUGGGCGUAAAGCGCACGUAGGUGGUUUGUUAAGUCAGCUGUGAAAUCCCCGGGCUCAACCUGGGCACUGCAGUUGAAACUGGCAAGCUAGAGUAGGGUAGAGGGGUGUGGAAUUCCAGGUGUAGCGGUGAAAUGCGUAGAUAUCGGGAGGAACACCAGUGGCGAAGGCGGCUUCCUGGACCAGUACUGACGCUGAGGCGCGAAAGCUAGGGGAGCAAACAGG
Molecule: ribosomal RNA, 253 nt
Filed under: uncultured prokaryote
Description: partial 16S ribosomal RNA
Rfam family: Bacterial small subunit ribosomal RNA
Source: RNAcentral